GAUGAACGCUAGCGGCAGGCUUAAUACAUGCAAGUCGUGGGGCAGCAGGGGUAGCAAUACCCGCUGGCGACCGGCAAACGGGUGCGGAACACGUACGCAACCUUCCUUUAACUGGAGAAUAGCCCCUCGAAAGAGGGAUUAAUACUCCGUAACAUAUAGAUGUGGCAUCACAAUUAUAUUAUAGCUCCGGCGGUUAAAGAUGGGCGUGCGCCUGAUUAGAUAGUUGGCAGGGUAACGGGCCUACCAAGUCUGCGAUCAGUAACUGGUGUGAGAGCACGACCAGUCACACGGGCACUGAGACACGGGCCCGACUCCUACGGGAGGCAGCAGUAAGGAAUAUUGGUCAAUGGACGCAAGUCUGAACCAGCCAUGCCGCGUGGAGGAUUAAGGCCCUCUGGGUUGUAAACUCCUUUUAUCUGGGAAGAAAUGCUAUUUUUUCUAAAGUGCUUGACGGUACCAGAGGAAUAAGCACCGGCUAACUCCGUGCCAGCAGCCGCGGUAAC
Molecule: ribosomal RNA, 503 nt
Filed under: uncultured bacterium
Lineage: Bacteria
Description: bacterial SSU rRNA
Rfam family: Bacterial small subunit ribosomal RNA
Source: RNAcentral